UCAACUUGAGAGUUUGAUCCUGGCUCAGAACGAACGCUGGCGGCAGGCCUUAUACAUGCAAGUCGAGCGCAUCCUUCGGGAUGAGCGGCGGACGGGUGAGUAACGCGUGGGAAUGUGCCCUUCUCUACGGAAUAGCCACUGGAAACGGUGAGUAAUACCGUAUACGCCCUCAGGGGGAAAGAUUUAUCGGAGAAGGAUCAGCCCGCGUUAGAUUAGGUAGUUGGUGGGGUAACGGCCUACCAAGCCUACGAUCUAUAGCUGGUUUUAGAGGAUGAUCAGCCACACUGGGACUGAGACACGGCCCAGACUCCUACGGGAGGCAGCAGUAGGGAAUCUUGGACAAUGGGGGCAACCCUGAUCCAGCCAUGCCGCGUGAGUGAAGAAGGCCCUAGGGUCGUAAAGCUCUUUCGCCUGUGAUGAUAAUGACAGUAGCAGGUAAAGAAACCCCGGCUAACUCCGUGCCAGCAGCCGCGGUAAUACGGAGGGGGUUAGCGUUGUUCGGAAUUACUGGG
RNAcentral lists this ribosomal RNA (512 nucleotides) under Rhodobacteraceae bacterium MED-G08. RNAcentral describes it as "bacterial SSU rRNA". It matches the Rfam family "Bacterial small subunit ribosomal RNA", at positions 1 to 558 of the family's 1533-position model. Lineage: Bacteria; Pseudomonadati; Pseudomonadota; Alphaproteobacteria; Rhodobacterales; Paracoccaceae. The record is from RNAcentral.